This is a long non-coding RNA of Artibeus jamaicensis (Jamaican fruit-eating bat), 2537 nucleotides long. RefSeq lists it as uncharacterized. The transcript is spliced from 3 exons. The record is from RefSeq and is a predicted model, not a curated record. Lineage: Eukaryota; Metazoa; Chordata; Mammalia; Chiroptera; Phyllostomidae.
CCCAUCCUUUUUGCUAAACUUUCAUUUUCAAGGCACUCAUGGAACAUAAAACCCUCGAUUAUAACUUUUCACUAGACAUACCAUGAACGACUUAAAUUUAUCUUGGUUUUUGAAAAAAUAUAGUUGCUUUCAUCUAAAAAUAGCAGUUACCAGUUGGCUAUUUUGAGUUCAGGAACACGACUUCCCUUGCCUGUGGCAACUUGCAACCAAAGGAACUCACAACCCUUUAAACCAUCCAGUGUCCCUUUGUCUAAAUGACAAAGACGGGGGUCCACAAAUUGUGCUUCCACAUACUGCAGGGAUUCAGGAGCCAGCACUUUGCAAUGGAAACUCUGGGGCCGAUGGUGUGUCUGGUGUAACUGCAGACCCGACAGAGAGGGUACACCACAGGGAACCCAGAGGUAAAAAUCAUGUGUUUGGCCACCUGGGAGCCAGCAAGCUUGGCAACGUGCCAGGAGAAGACACAGGAAUUCUUAAGACAGCCAGCAACCUGGGACUUUCUACCUCAACGUGUCCCAGUAGCCCACCUGCUAGGUCCCAGCUCUGAGGUGUGCAGCUGCCUCCCGAGCCAGCCGAACUCCGGGACAGGACUCAGCCAGAUGGGUGGCAACCUUCCCCUGCCACAGGGCUGGUGACCUCACUGUGGCAAAGAAACUGUUAGAAAAACUGCGUUUUCACUCCCCACAAUUUCAGCGCAGGAAGGCAAAUGCCUGUGGAAAACAGAGUGCUCCUUUAAAACCCAGCUUUUUACUCAAGAGAAGAAAGCUCGUGAUAACUGGCUGAGAGCUCAUGCUGCAGAAAGAGCUAUGGCUGAAGAGACAAGGGAAACAGCCACCCUGAGAAAAUUGCUGGAAGUGAACCGAAAGAUAGCAAUGCUGUAAAAACCUGUGAUUGUAAAGCCAGUGCCAGGAAGACCCCAUGUGCAAAACCUCCCAUGAAGACCUCUUCCUGCCAAGCAAGAAGCUCCAUCGAAGAGAUGCCCCCAGAAGUGAAUUUGCUCCAGGAUCUGCUGCAGCUCCGAUGAUGAACAGCAGCCCAAGAAGGCCUUUCCCUUCUGAGGUGAUGGAUGUGGGCAAGGGAAGGAUGGCUGCAGAAGGGCCCCCUGCUUUUCCAGAACCCCCUAUACCACCACCCAUUCAAUGUGGACCUCGAGUCUGAGGUCCUCUGGGAACAUUUCCUCCACCAUUUGGUCCUGGUUUGCAGCCACCUGUAGGCUUAAGAAUAUGUACCAGGCGUUCCAUGUGGAAAAUGGGAUGCACCUUUCUACCCUUGAGAAUUUGGACCACGACAUCACACACACUCUAGACCGCUGGGCUCAGCUGGCCCUCACAAUAUCACGCUUUUAAAUGUCUCACCCUGUUUUGAAUGAACAUAAACCUGGAAUGCUUGCUUGGCGAACUUUUACACUAAAAACAUGUUUUCUCAUAACGCAAUGGCUUUUAACCUCCUGUUCAUUUAUUAAAUUUGAAAUGUUUUUAAUCAUAAAAAGCACUCCCACUGGAUGAGUAAGAAGCUAGAUUACUAAGAAGCUAGAAAAAUUCUUUGGCAGGUGGAGUGGGGAAAAUGAGACUGUUCAACAAGUCUGAGCGAUUUACAGCCAGCUAAUAAGUCACAAGGUCUUAUCCUCCUGAACCAAGGACACCUAGGAGUUGGUUUACACAUUCCAGACCAGGCUCAGGCAGAUCCACCUCAGUCCCUUUCCUGUGAAACUGACCAGAGAAUAACCCUGACCCCUCUAUACAUUCAUUUUCAUGCAUUAGCAUGUCAAAGGCUCCUGGACAUCUGGACAGCUGAUGAAUAUUCUAUUGAGAUCCUCCCGAGACCUCCCCUAAAAUUCCUGUGCCUUCCCCCACCCCUUCCUCCCUCAGGAUUGUGUCUUCGCUGUCUUUCUCCUAAGCUCUAAACUCUAAGGGUCCCAGUGAGACUUGCAACCCAGGAAGAAGCAGGCAGUGGCAGCUCAUCUCGGGGUAGCCCCUAAACCUGUCUCCGAGGGCCCUUCUAUUGCCUAACUUUUCAGUGAAUCGAAGAGUCACUCCACUUAGGCUCACUCCUGUUGCUGUGAUCUUGCCUCUUCUAUCCUAAGCCCUUCCUUUGUUUCAUUGUCCCUACCUUUAAAUGUGUUAGGAUGUACUGAGACACGGAGGGCCUAAGCCACCACCUGUGCUGGAACGAAGAAGGUAUGUGUUGCCAGCUGAAUGCCCGACCGCAAAAUUCCCUCUUACUGGAAGCCACUGAGGCGUAGCUGUCUGCGUCCUGCUGGAAACUGGUUGGAUCCGUAUUUCCCCUCCCCGCUCCCUCAAGGUUUCCCAGAAACAAGGCCCAUAAAUCUCCCAGACAUUCUGUUCCCAAAGCAGCUAUCCCUGACCAGAGGACAUUGUCUUGCAAACACCUAUACCCAGGACACCUGGGACAGAUCAGCAGGGUGACCCACCCUACCUGGGGGUCUGCUAAACACCCUUAAAAACUCUUCCACCCUUUCCCCUGUUGCUGCCGUCUGCUUGGACUCAGCCCACCUGAUCCUAGUGUCCCACCUUGAA